This is a long non-coding RNA of Megalobrama amblycephala (Wuchang bream), 767 nucleotides long. RefSeq lists it as uncharacterized. The transcript has 3 exons. Lineage: Eukaryota; Metazoa; Chordata; Actinopteri; Cypriniformes; Xenocyprididae. The record is from RefSeq and is a predicted model, not a curated record.
CUCAAGUGUGGAUCGUUGCCUACUGUUCGCGAUCCAACGUCACCUCCAGAAGAAGAAUGAGAGUCAUUCCAUCAGACCCACGAGACAAAAGAGGUCAGUAUCAUCACGUCCAUAACCACAGGUCGUGCAGCACCAUGGGAAUCAUCACAUGCAAUCUUCACAAGGCAGCAGAUCUGGAGAGGAAAACAGACCAACUGCUGAGACAAUGCAGCUGUGCAGAAGGACCCCCGAACCCUCCAGAGAUCUGCUCUAAAUCACAGUCACUUCACAGAGAAGCCUGACUCUCUUCCAGAACUUUAUUCUCACACUCACUUCCACAAAAGUGCCAUAAGGGAACACUGAUCCGACAGUGUAAGGAGAGGGAUUUCACUGCCCCAUCAGCCCCGCAGUGACCUUAGAGUGCUUGUGUUCUACCGAUGCACCUGGAGGCUGUUCUGUAGGAAAGCAGUGGAAGUGUGGAGGAACAAAAUGAGCAAAGCAGUAUGAACAGACUUAAAAGUCCAGAGGAUACAAUAAUGAAAGUGAGAAGCCCUUUGGGAGGGCAACAUAUAUUCUGAUACAAGGGUUGGAGGUGCUUCAUAGCAUGUUGAAUUUCACAGAAAAGUGCGGUGAAACAGCUGGACACUGAACGAAAUUCAAUAAGGUUCUGCUGCACUAUAAAGUAGCCUACUAUAAAGGUGGUUUUUACAAUGAAUGUGACAUGUAAAUUUGUGACUACAGUAAAUCAAAAAAGCUUUGUUAACUGCAGUAAAAUAACUUCACAUAUU